CAAGAGUGCAUUUUUACGUUUAAGUUUAACAUAUGAUCGUCUGUUUUAUUUGAAAAAAAUUAUAAUUAUUACUUUUAUUGUUACUAGAUAAAACAUAAACAAUAUUUUAUGUGUGACCAUUUUUUAAAAAAACCAUAAUUUUUUUAAAUAAGACGAACGAUUAAAAGUUAAACACAAAAAUCUACAAAUGCAAUUAUA
RNAcentral lists this microRNA precursor (198 nucleotides) under Oryza brachyantha (malo sina). RNAcentral's name for it is "MIR812 microRNA precursor family". It matches the Rfam family "MIR812 microRNA precursor family". Lineage: Eukaryota; Viridiplantae; Streptophyta; Magnoliopsida; Poales; Poaceae. The record is from Rfam by way of RNAcentral.